Amphimedon queenslandica is the source of this 175-nucleotide long non-coding RNA. RefSeq lists it as uncharacterized. The transcript has 2 exons. The record is from RefSeq and is a predicted model, not a curated record. Lineage: Eukaryota; Metazoa; Porifera; Demospongiae; Haplosclerida; Niphatidae.
ACAGUGAUGAAGUAGCGGCACCAGUUGUACCAGAGGUACUUGAAACUGAUAAAAAGAAGAAGAAGGCUAGCAAGGCUGUCAAAGAACAAACGGAAAUGAAAAAGUCAAAGAAAUUCGAGAAGACCAAGGACAGUGAUGAAGUAGCGGUAGCAGUUGUACCAGAGGUAGUUGAAAC